This 253-nucleotide ribosomal RNA is filed under the name uncultured bacterium. RNAcentral's name for it is "partial 16S ribosomal RNA". It matches the Rfam family "Bacterial small subunit ribosomal RNA", at positions 524 to 776 of the family's 1533-position model. The record is from RNAcentral.
UACAGAGGUCUCAAGCGUUGUUCGGAUUCAUUGGGCGUAAAGGGUGCGUAGGCGGCGCGGUAAGUCGGGUGUGAAAUCUCGGGGCUUAACUCCGAAACUGCAUUCGAUACUGCCGUGCUUGAGGACUGGAGAGGAGACUGGAAUUUACGGUGUAGCGGUGAAAUGCGUAGAUAUCGUAAGGAAGACCAGUGGCGAAGGCGGGUCUCUGGACAGUUCCUUACGCUGAGGCACGAAGGUCAGGGGAGCAAACGGG